GGACGUGUGGCCCAAUGGCAAGGCGCUUGACUACGAUCUUCCAAAGAGUAAUCAAGAGAUUCCAGGUUCGACCCCUGGCACGUUCA
Molecule: non-coding RNA, 86 nt
Organism: Periconia macrospinosa
Lineage: Eukaryota; Fungi; Ascomycota; Dothideomycetes; Pleosporales; Periconiaceae
Source: the annotation of a GenBank genome assembly